Long non-coding RNA from Dreissena polymorpha, 335 nucleotides. RefSeq lists it as uncharacterized. The record is from RefSeq and is a predicted model, not a curated record. NCBI's taxonomy places the organism in Eukaryota, Metazoa, Mollusca, Bivalvia, Myida, Dreissenidae. The transcript has 3 exons.
UUGUAACCUUAAUCUUUUGGGUAAUUUUACUUUCGUUGUCUCGCAUAAAUUGGUCACGUGGUCAUUUCUGGCAGUUGAGAGAAAAGUUUAAACAAGAAAGACUUGUUCAGAUUGCAGAGUCCAUUGUAUUUGUUUAAUACAUCUUAGCAUUUGGUUUCGAGCAAACGCACAACUAAAGAAGUCGUGAUUGAGAGACUGUGAGAGGUAUUCGAUUCCCUAAAUCGUUACCAAUACCAAUCUGGAAAAGAAUCACGGUUCGAUAUUCUGUAAAUUCUGUAACUCAUUAAAGAACCCCUGAUUAGAAAGAGAACAAAUCUUGUUGUUGAUAAACCCAC